Molecule: ribosomal RNA, 848 nt
Filed under: uncultured bacterium
Lineage: Bacteria
Description: bacterial SSU rRNA
Rfam family: Bacterial small subunit ribosomal RNA
Source: RNAcentral
UAGCUACAGGCUUAACACAUGCAAGUCGAGGGGCAGCGAUGAAGAAAGCUUGCUUUCUUCAGGCGGCGACCGGCGCACGGGUGAGUAACGCGUAUCGAACCUGCCUCAUACUCAGGAAUAGCCUUGCGAAAGUAAGAUUAAUGCCCGAUGUUAUUAGGAUAUCACAUGAUGUUUUAAUUAAAGAUUUAUCGGUAUGAGAUGGCGAUGCGUCCCAUUAGCUUGUUGGCGGGGUAACGGCCCACCAAGGCAUCGAUGGGUAGGGGUUCUGAGAGGAAGGUCCCCCACAUUGGAACUGAGACACGGUCCAAACUCCUACGGGAGGCAGCAGUGAGGAAUAUUGGUCAAUGGACGCAAGUCUGAACCAGCCAAGUAGCGUGCAGGAUGACGGCCCUCUGGGUUGUAAACUGCUUUUAGUUGGGAAUAAAGUGCACCACGUGUGGUGUUUUGUAUGUACCAUCAGAAAAAGGACCGGCUAAUUCCGUGCCAGCAGCCGCGGUAAUACGGAAGGUCCAGGCGUUAUCCGGAUUUAUUGGGUUUAAAGGGAGCGCAGGCGGACCUUUAAGUCAGCUGUGAAAUACGGCGGCUCAACCGUCGAACUGCAGUUGAUACUGGAGGUCUUGAGUGCACACAGGGAUACUGGAAUUCAUGGUGUAGCGGUGAAAUGCUCAGAUAUCAUGAAGAACUCCGAUCGCGAAGGCAGGUAUCCGGGGUGCAACUGACGAUGAGGCUAGAAAGUGCGGGUAUCAAACAGGAUUAGAUACCCUGGUAGUCCGCACAGUAAACGAUGAAUACUCGCGAUUUGCGAUACACAGUAAGUCGCCAAGCGAAAGCGUUAAGUAUUCCACCUG